UUUCCAAAUUCAAGAGCAGCUUAAUCUUGUGACAGCAAUUGGGUUAUGCCCACCUGCCCCAUUCUUGUUGUUUUGCUCCAAUGUCUCUCACUGAUUGCCUCUGUGGGUCUGCUUCUGUAAUCUAAACUCAUCUUGAAGUUGCUUCCUUAAAGGUACUUCCAUGUGUUGCUUCAUGGUGGAAAUGGGGAGGCAAUUGAAUCUGCUUUUUUUGCAAAUGUGCUUGAUUCUGGGUGUUUUGCCAUUUCAUGGAUCUGCAGGUAAUAGAUUUUGA
Molecule: long non-coding RNA, 271 nt
Filed under: Rosa chinensis
Lineage: Eukaryota; Viridiplantae; Streptophyta; Magnoliopsida; Rosales; Rosaceae
Description: sRNA RchiOBHm_Chr2g0143291
Source: RNAcentral